ACCAUGCUACCAAACUUUCGUAAAACGUGCCAUGAGAAAUUUAGUGUUUUGUAGACCAUUGGACCUAAUACAACUUCACGCAACUCACAAACGCAUUAUAUCUGAUUAUCCACGACGAGACCUCAUUAUUAACAUGCUACUUUCGUCUAUCCGUUACUCAUGCAAUUCUUAUACUCGUAAUCUUUAAUUAGAUCAAUCGCUUACCCUUAUACCUCGAUUAUUCUUCGUUGUCUCAAACUCCAAAGCCUCAAUUUUAAACAAUCCUCCUCGGUUUGCCAAAAAAAAAACCCUUUCGAGACUUCCUCUUGAAUAAAUUUCGGGACGAAAUUUCCUAAAGUAGGGGAGACUGUAACGCUCCGCAUUUUCAUAACUUCCCUAUUUAGAAAUUGAAUCAAAAAAAAAAUCUAUUUUUAGAAGCCUGGCACUUUUAAAAUUAAAAUCUGUUUAGUCGUCAAAAAAAAAAAAACCUUUUAUCUUUAAUUUAAUUAAUUAUAAACAUGAUUAUUUAUUCUUUUUAAAAUGUAUUAAACUAACUACUUUUGGUAAAAUUAAAACUUUUGUUUUAAUCUAGUUAGCCUCGCUAGAAUUUAAAGUUAAAAAAAAAUACAACUAACCAAGUUAAUCUAGCUACUUAAUUAACUACUCAAAGCUUAGGGACUAAUCCUGUAUUUACUUGAAAGUAUAAUAUGGUACCCAAAACCCUAACUAUUUAUGACUAGUGAAACCCUAAAUGGAUUUGUUGUGGCCGUUCAACAACUUCUUCCCUCUUAAAUGUCCCUCUGCAACAUAUCACAUCCUCACAAGACUUGGAGAAUCACCUUCUUCUCCAAACCCAUCUCAUCUCUCUACCCUCACAACCCCACAAUAUCCUUCCGCAUAUCAUGCACUCUCACUCGAAGAAGAACUAGCCUGCAAGUCCUUCGUGUCAUCGACGAAAACUUGAAAAAGUUAUCAGAGGAUCACGUCGGAGUCUACAUCGGGACAAGUCGCCGUCGCUCCGCUUUCUACAACUCGUCAGAGAGCACGAGACGUCGCCGGAAAAUCAUCACGGAAUCGACACAUCACGUUAUUCAUGGAUGUGCUGUUGUUCACCGUCCUUUUGAAACCCUUAUCGUUUUCAUAUGAUAAACUGCCCAGAUGAGAAUCGCGACCGGCCGAAACCGGAAUCACGUCGACGUCACUGUUUCGGUAUACUCUUUUAUGAUAAAUCGAUCAUCCGUCGAAAUCUUAUAUUGUGUUUCAACGUUAAUAACCACCCAAACUCACCUACACACAGCCAGAACCUUAGUCGCCAGAACCGAAGUUCACCGGAGAACCAGUCGUGGCCGGAAAGAUCAUCGGAAACCCACAGCCUCUUUACAUUCGGUUCGGAUUAUCGUACGGAAUCCUUUUUCCUAUCUUUACUCGUGCAUUAUUUCAAGGGAAUCUCCAUACGUAACCAAUGUUGAUGAGGACGAUGCUAAGAAAAGAAGUAGCGUUGAUGCCUAGAUACACA
Helianthus annuus (common sunflower) is the source of this 1495-nucleotide long non-coding RNA. RefSeq lists it as uncharacterized. The transcript has 3 exons. NCBI's taxonomy places the organism in Eukaryota, Viridiplantae, Streptophyta, Magnoliopsida, Asterales, Asteraceae. The record is from RefSeq and is a predicted model, not a curated record.